Manacus vitellinus (golden-collared manakin) is the source of this 282-nucleotide long non-coding RNA. RefSeq lists it as uncharacterized. NCBI's taxonomy places the organism in Eukaryota, Metazoa, Chordata, Aves, Passeriformes, Pipridae. The record is from RefSeq and is a predicted model, not a curated record. The transcript is spliced from 3 exons.
AGGCUCCUCUUCCAGCCUUUCCUGACCUCUCUGCCUUUCUUUGUGCCCCAGAUGAGUUUCCUGCUCCCCCGAAGCCCCCGAAGGCCUCAGACCUGGAUGACGGGCUCGGAUUCCUGCCAACCUUCGGCCCCUGCUACAUCAACCUCUACGGGAGCCCCCGGGAAUUCACGGGAUUCCCCGAUCCCUACGAGACCCUCAACCUGGGAAAGGGAGAGGGCGUUGCCUACCGUGGCAGGGUGCUGGUGGAGCUGGAGACCAAACUGGUGGAGCACCUGGAGCAGA